Transfer RNA from Toxocara canis (dog roundworm), 72 nucleotides. It matches the Rfam family "tRNA". From Rfam's summary of the family: Transfer RNA (tRNA) molecules are approximately 80 nucleotides in length. Their secondary structure includes four short double-helical elements and three loops (D, anti-codon, and T loops). Further hydrogen bonds mediate the characteristic L-shaped molecular structure. tRNAs have two regions of fundamental functional importance: the anti-codon, which is responsible for specific mRNA codon recognition, and the 3' end, to which the tRNAs corresponding amino acid is attached (by aminoacyl-tRNA synthetases). tRNAs cope with the degeneracy of the genetic code in two manners: having more than one tRNA (with a specific anti-codon) for a particular amino acid; and 'wobble' base-pairing, i.e. permitting non-standard base-pairing at the 3rd anti-codon position. The record is from Rfam. NCBI's taxonomy places the organism in Eukaryota, Metazoa, Nematoda, Chromadorea, Rhabditida, Toxocaridae.
GAGGCAGUAGAUUAGUCGUAGAGCUCCCGCCUCGUAUACGGGAAGACCUGGGUUCGAUUCCCGGCUGCCUUC